This 73-nucleotide transfer RNA is filed under the name Dictyocaulus viviparus (bovine lungworm). It matches the Rfam family "tRNA". Rfam says of the family: Transfer RNA (tRNA) molecules are approximately 80 nucleotides in length. Lineage: Eukaryota; Metazoa; Nematoda; Chromadorea; Rhabditida; Metastrongylidae. The record is from Rfam by way of RNAcentral.
UCCUCGGUAGUGUAAUGGAUCAGCACGGCAGACCGAAUAUCUGCAUGUGCGGGUUCGAGUUCCGCCUGGAGUU